RNAcentral lists this ribosomal RNA (254 nucleotides) under uncultured bacterium. Its description in RNAcentral is "partial 16S ribosomal RNA". It matches the Rfam family "Bacterial small subunit ribosomal RNA", at positions 524 to 776 of the family's 1533-position model. The record is from RNAcentral.
CACGUAGGGCGCGAGCGUUGUCCGGAAUUAUUGGGCGUAAAGAGCUCGUAGGCGGCUUGGUAAGUCGGAUGUGAAAUCUCCAUGCUUAACGUGGAGCGGCCAUCUGAUACUGCUAUGGCUUGAGUCCGGUAGGGGCCCACGGAAUUCCUGGUGUAGCGGUGAAAUGCGCAGAUAUCAGGAGGAACACCGGUGGCGAAGGCGGUUCUCUGGGCCUUACCUGACGCUGAGGAGCGAAAGCGUGGGGAGCGAACAGG